RNAcentral lists this ribosomal RNA (253 nucleotides) under uncultured bacterium. RNAcentral's name for it is "partial 16S ribosomal RNA". It matches the Rfam family "Bacterial small subunit ribosomal RNA", at positions 524 to 776 of the family's 1533-position model. The record is from RNAcentral.
UACAGAGGGUGCGAGCGUUGUCCGGAAUCACUGGGCGUAAAGGGCGCGUAGGCGGUCUUGUAAGUCUUGUGUGAAAUCCCUCGGCUUAACUGAGGAACUGCACGAGAUACUGCGAGACUUGAGUUCGGGAGAGGAAAGCGGAAUUCCGGGUGUAGCGGUGAAAUGCGUAGAUAUCCGGAGGAACACCGGUGGCGAAGGCGGCUUUCUGGACCGACACUGACGCUGAGGCGCGAAAGCUAGGGGAGCAAACGGG